AUUGAACGCUGGCGGCAUGGCUAAAACAUGCAAGUCGAACGCACCAGCAAUGGUGAGUGGCGAAAGGGUCAGUAACGCGAUCGAACGUACCCCGAGGUGGGGGAUAGGCACGGGAAACUGUGCGUAAUACCCCAUGUGAUCUACGGAUCAAAGAUUUUUCGCCUUGGGAGCGGCGAUCGUCCUAUCAGGUAGUUGGCGGGGUAACGGCCCACCAAGCCUAAGACGGGUAGCGGGUGUGAGAGCACGGCCCGCGACAUCGGGACUGAGACACUGCCCGGACUCCUACGGGAGGCUGCAGUAACGAAUCUUCCGCAAUGGGCGAAAGCCUGACGGAGCAAUGCCGCGUGCGGGAUGAAGCGCCUUUU
This 365-nucleotide ribosomal RNA is filed under the name uncultured bacterium. Its description in RNAcentral is "bacterial SSU rRNA". It matches the Rfam family "Bacterial small subunit ribosomal RNA", at positions 30 to 420 of the family's 1533-position model. The record is from RNAcentral.